Molecule: ribosomal RNA, 802 nt
Filed under: uncultured organism
Description: SSU rRNA
Rfam family: Bacterial small subunit ribosomal RNA
Source: RNAcentral
UUACACAUGCAAGUCGAACGGUAACGUGGGCCGUAGAAAGGUCCACCCCGACGACGAGUGGCGAACGGGUGAGUAAUACAUCGGAACGUGUCCGCUCGUGGGGGACAACCAGCCGAAAGGUUGGCUAAUACCGCAUGAGUUCUACGGAAGAAAGAGGGGGACCCGCAAGGGCCUCUCGCGAGCGGAGCGGCCGAUGACUGAUUAGCCUGUUGGUGAGGUAACGGCUCACCAAAGCAACGAUCAGUAGCUGGUCUGAGAGGACGACCAGCCACACUGGGACUGAGACACGGCCCAGACUCCUACGGGAGGCAGCAGUGGGGAAUUUUGGACAAUGGGCGCAAGCCUGAUCCAGCUAUUCCGCGUGUGGGAUGAAGGCCCUCGGGUUGUAAACCACUUUUGUAGAGAACGAAAAGACAUCUUCGAAUAAAGGAUGUUGCUGACGGUACUCUAAGAAUAAGCACCGGCUAACUACGUGCCAGCAGCCGCGGUAAUACGUAGGGUGCGAGCGUUAAUCGGAAUUACUGGGCGUAAAGGGUGCGCAGGCGGUUGAGUAAGACAGAUGUGAAAUCCCCGAGCUUAACUCGGGAAUGGCAUAUGUGACUGCUCGACUAGAGUGUGUCAGAGGGAGGUGGAAUUCCACGUGUAGCAGUGAAAUGCGUAGAUAUGUGGAAGAACACCGAUGGCGAAGGCAGCCUCCUGGGACAUAACUGACGCUCAGGCACGAAAGCGUGGGGAGCAAACAGGAUUAGAUACCCUGGUAGUCCACGCCCUAAACGAUGUUAACUAGUUGUUGGGAUGUAAC